RNAcentral lists this ribosomal RNA (253 nucleotides) under uncultured bacterium. Its description in RNAcentral is "partial 16S ribosomal RNA". It matches the Rfam family "Bacterial small subunit ribosomal RNA", at positions 524 to 776 of the family's 1533-position model. The record is from RNAcentral.
UACGGGGGGGGCAAGCGUUGUUCGGAAUUACUGGGCGUAAAGGGCUCGUAGGCGGUUUGUCGCGUCGGGAGUGAAAACCUUGGGCUUAACUCAGGGCUUGCUUUCGAUACGGGCAGACUAGAGGUAUGCAGGGGAGAACGGAAUUCCUGGUGUAGCGGUGAAAUGCGCAGAUAUCUGGAGGAACACCGGUGGCGAAGGCGGCAUUCUGGACCGAUAUUGACGCUGAGGAGCGAAAGCCAGGGGAGCAAACGGG